GCGGGUGUAGCUCAGCUGUUAGAGCGCAUCCUUGCCAAGGAUGAGGUCCAGGGUUAGAGUCCCUGUACCCGCACCA
RNAcentral lists this transfer RNA (76 nucleotides) under Candidatus Saccharimonadota bacterium. RNAcentral's name for it is "Candidatus Saccharibacteria bacterium tRNA-Gly". It matches the Rfam family "tRNA". From Rfam's summary of the family: Transfer RNA (tRNA) molecules are approximately 80 nucleotides in length. Their secondary structure includes four short double-helical elements and three loops (D, anti-codon, and T loops). RNAcentral also lists the same sequence under 2 other names. Lineage: Bacteria; Candidatus Saccharimonadota. The record is from RNAcentral.